Molecule: non-coding RNA, 48 nt
Organism: Schistosoma rodhaini
Lineage: Eukaryota; Metazoa; Platyhelminthes; Trematoda; Strigeidida; Schistosomatidae
Source: Rfam
AUCCAGAUGACGAGUCCCAAAUAGGACGAAACGCGCGUUAAACUAGAG